Molecule: ribosomal RNA, 428 nt
Filed under: uncultured bacterium
Lineage: Bacteria
Description: bacterial SSU rRNA
Rfam family: Bacterial small subunit ribosomal RNA
Source: RNAcentral
UCGAGAAUAAUUCACAAUGGGGGCAACCCUGAUGGUGCAACGCCGCGUGGAGGAUGAAGGUCUUCGGAUUGUAAACUCCUGUCAUCCGGGAGUAAGACCUGGCUGUGAAUAGCAGACAGGGUUGAUAGUACCGGAAGAGGAAGGGACGGCUAACUUCGUGCCAGCAGCCGCGGUAAUACGAAGGUCCCGAGCGUUGUUCGGAAUCACUGGGCGUAAAGGGAGCGUAGGCGGCGUGGUAAGUCAGAUGUGAAAUCCCGGGGCUCAACCCCGGAACUGCAUCCGAUACUGCCGUGCUAGAGGAUUGGAGAGGUAGCUGGAAUUCUUGGUGUAGCAGUGAAAUGCGUGGAGAUCAAGAGGAACACUCGUGGCGAAAGCGAGCUACUGGACAAUAUCUGACGCUGAGGCUCGAAGGCCAGGGUAGCGAAAGG